UCUUUAGGGAAGUUUGAAACUGGGCAGGUUCUAGACAUCGCAGGAUAAUACUGUUGGCUCAUGUCUACCUUCAUGUAACCUUACACUAUAACCACUGUCCUCUGUUCUGCUGUACAGGCAUUGGAAGCACACCAUUGAUGUAGUCUACCUCAACUCCAUCCAGAUAAGCAGAGCAAAAGCCUAGAUAUUUAUGUUAGAGGAAGUUUGUGGAGUGCAUUUUUUAAUCAUACCUUAUGCGUGUUCCACAGACAGAACUCAGGUUUCCAGCUUUGCAAGAUUCUUGGGACUCCCCUUAAGCUGUCC
Molecule: long non-coding RNA, 303 nt
Organism: Mus musculus (house mouse)
Lineage: Eukaryota; Metazoa; Chordata; Mammalia; Rodentia; Muridae
Product: predicted gene, 41991
Exons: 3
Source: RefSeq, a predicted model, not a curated record